Molecule: non-coding RNA, 3271 nt
Organism: Peromyscus maniculatus bairdii (prairie deer mouse)
Lineage: Eukaryota; Metazoa; Chordata; Mammalia; Rodentia; Cricetidae
Source: RefSeq, a predicted model, not a curated record
UUAUAUUAACAUCCUAGACACUCAUGUUCCCAAGGUGGAUGGACAACUGAAACUGUUGCUUUGCUGCCUAAAGGGAUCACUUUAAGGGUUAGGGUGUUGUAAUGGUCUCUCAGAGACCCUGAGUUAGGUUCUGAGCCCUCGCAUUGGGGGAAAGUGGCUCAUAACUGCCUGUAACUCCAGCUCCCGGGGCCUUUAGCCUCCAAGGCCACCUGCACUCAAGUACACAUGCCCACAUUCAGACAUACACAGAUAAUUAUAUAAUAAAAGUAAGACCUUUUUUUUUUUAAGAGGACAGUUUCCUCACUUCUUAGAUAUUUAGAAGUCAGCACAGACCCUGGCAUCUGAGUAUUUCCUGGAGUUUGUGGUGCAGAUCACUCUUGUACCACUUACAAAGCACAGCUCUUCCUAUUGACACGCGUGUUCUGAGGUGUCGCGAUGAGAAAAUCCAGCAUUGUCAGUGAAAGGUGGCUCGGGCCAUCCUCUUCUCUCCUCUUUGCAUUUUACAUGGAGCAGUGUGAUUAUUUUUCUCUCACAGGAAUAUUUCGCCCAUCUCAACUCCUUUCCAAAUGCUACUGACCCUGCAACUUCUGAACGGUUGCCAGAGAGAAACCGAGCUGAUGAGGUGAUCCUCGGGUCGGCUUUCUCCAGCCCUUACUCCUGCUCACGCGCAUGCGCGCCACUCCAAACAAGCUCCGACCAAGAGAAAGCCGUAUGUGCCCCACCCACCCACCCACCCACCGAACCUCGCUAGCCGCUGAGAAACAGUCCGGUCUCUGUGAGGUUAUCAAUCUUCCGAAUGUGAGGGGCAUUUUAUCUUUCUUCACACACGGUAGGUGAGGGAUCACACCUGUCCUCCGCAGCACCAAUGUGCGCUGGCUGGCGCAGCAUCGAUUUUACGCAACCAAGGGGAUGGAUUUAGAAACGUGUUCCUUGCCAGUUAUGUCUGCUUAUACAAAAUAAAUCCCCUUUGUUCAAGGGUGUUGAGAAGAGGUAAUCUGCUUCCAUGUAGCUGUUCCCUCAAACUCUUGACCUUUAUACCAAUCGUUCCUGGCCCCUGGGUGCCCGGAGUGGUUGAGUGGGACCGCUAAGGACACCAUUGAAGGGUGGCUCAUGACACAGACUAGGAUAUUCAGCAGAACAGCUACUUGGGUAUGAGUCUGUCCCAAAUGGGCUCUGGGUGUAAGUACAUUGUUUGUGUAUUACCUCCUCUGGGUCAAACUUGCUUAAAAUAGGUCCACAGGCCUGUCCCGUCCGGUCCCCCCCCCCCCCACUGUAUCCUGAAGCCCUUGCUAGAACCCAAGAGGCUAUGGGAGUCUAACCUGUUACAUUGUGUCUCCAUCUUUGAAUGCAUUAGGGUUGAUGCAGGCUUCAGAAAAACAACAACAAAAACAAAAACAAGUAUACUUUUCCUACUUUGUUUUGACGCAAGUAUAAAAAGGAGCUUCUUUUAUCCUUUAUAGAAAACUUCACAACAGUGAGUCUGGGGGCUUUAAUUCUGGGGAAGAACAUGCAUGUGAGUAUACGGAAGCCGAGUGAUUCCUAAGAAUAAGAAACAACCGUCUCUCAGGAUCCUUUCAAAGUCCCACCUUCCCAGCUAGACGCAACCUUUAAACUACCUGCCGCCUGGGCCCAGCACACCCAAGCAGGUGAUAGGGUAGCUGCCUGAAGGAACACAGACUCCGGGGUGUAGGUCAGGCCUGCGAUUUGGCAGGGGAGAACCUGAUCUGGCAAAGGCCGUGUGUUUCUUUUGUCUGUAUGGAAGCCAAGGAGAAGAAUUAAGGAACAUAAAUUCUGAGAGAUUAGAUUGGAUCAGAACAAGGCAGCUGUUGUUUUUGCCAGAGUUUAAAGGGCAUCGCAAAGGCCACCGGACCCAUUUCUGUUUUAUUUAGGGAUUUCCCCCUUUCUCAUUUGAACACUGUCACUCUUGUCUUUCUUGUACACGUGUGUCCCAAGACAGGGGGAGGGGGUGUCUAGACUGUGAAAAGGAUGGACAGCCGUUGUACUGGAGAGACGGUCCCCAGAGCUCACGAAGCUGCUAAACUUGAGAGCCUGUCGAGUUGCCAGGCCUCAAGUGCAUGGUUAGGACGUUUCUAGAAAAUGGUGAGUGAAUUUCUAGUGUCUCCUUUUCCUUCCAUUCUAAAAUACUCAUGGCCUUGAACUUAGGUUGACUAAAUGGACACACAAGAGGAGCUUCCCAAGUCUGAAUGUCUGAGACCCGAAGUUAAAAACCUUUGAGUGUCAACAGGCUGCCACAAGCAGAAAAUUCUAGAUCUCACCUCAUGUCACAAAGAGUCACGGUCAAAAUACAGAGGCGCUGUACAUACUGCACAAACCUACCUCCAGGCUCUGUAUGCACAGGGCUUAUGCAGUGUGAGCUUCCUGAUUAGACUUAGGUCCUGUUCCCACUGUAUCUCCGUAUGAAUAUGCAAAUAUUCCCAAAUCAGAAAAAAAAAAAAAACCUGAAAUCUAAAACACUUUUGUUCUUGAGAAUUCUGGGUAAGUGGUGUUCUCCCUGUACUGACUUUCCUGACUCUGACCUCUGAAUAUUACUGGAAGGGUCGCUGUCUUUCUUUUCUUCUUUUAAAAAUUUCCUGUCUCCUCUGCAUUGGUCUCUCCAAGUAUGGCUGUCUUCAUCUGGUUCAAGAGAACAGCUCAUCCUAGGUCCCCAGGACUCUUUCUACAGAAUGAAAGGCAGCUGCGGACAGGAAGUCUGUCUAAGAAUGGCGAGCGACUUCCUGUAUCCAGAGACUACCCUUGUAACCCCGUGCAGUGUGGCUUGCUGCGCGAUGGCUUUCCCCAUGGUCUGUCCCUCUCUGCAGCAGCUGGCUAUCUUUCCCGGUGAUGGACAGCUGUGGAAGUUGCUGGGAGUCCUGACCCGAGGAAUUUGCAGCCAGGCAAAGGUCUUUCGUCUCAGCAAUAGGAGGCAAGAGUGGAAGAAACAGUACCAUCAAGUCAGAGGCGUGGGAGAGCUCUCCAGCAGGUGUGUAGGGCAGUCAAAGCACAGGCGUCUCUGAAGUCUACACAAAGAGGGCACUGCUCUGGCCAAGUCACUAGAGGCCACGGAUCCCUCGGCUCAGACUCCGGGCACCUGGACAUGUGCUGGAAAGGGUCAAAGGAGGCAUCCAGAGCACCUGUUGUGUUGAAUACGGAGGAGUGAGUCCCCUUUGUGAAAUUACUCUGUGAGAGGGAUAUGAGAUUAAAGAACUAAUUAUGCUCCGAAGACCCUGGAGCUUAAGGGUGGGAGAGGCUCCCAGAAAGCUGGGCAACCGAG